CUAACUUUGUUGGAGAAGGUUGUACCAGAACACGCUGGGAUGAUGAUACCGCUCCGCAGAUGUCACGCCCCGCUCCAGAUCCUCCUCUUCUCUUUUGUUCUGUUUUUUGUUGCCAUUGUUUACUACAUCACUAUCGAUCAGCAACAGUUAACAGCUCUAAUGGUCUACGUCCCAGGAAUGAGAGGAAAUGUGGUGACAGAGCGAGU
This is a non-coding RNA of Procambarus clarkii (red swamp crayfish), 206 nucleotides long. NCBI's taxonomy places the organism in Eukaryota, Metazoa, Arthropoda, Malacostraca, Decapoda, Cambaridae. The record is from RefSeq and is a predicted model, not a curated record.